RNAcentral lists this ribosomal RNA (495 nucleotides) under uncultured bacterium. RNAcentral's name for it is "bacterial SSU rRNA". It matches the Rfam family "Bacterial small subunit ribosomal RNA", at positions 28 to 521 of the family's 1533-position model. The record is from RNAcentral.
GACGAACGCUGGCGGCGUGCCUAACACAUGCAAGUCGAACGGAACUGCUUCGAAGGAUUUCUUCGGAAUGACAUUGAUUCAGUUUAGUGGCGGACGGGUGAGUAACGCGUGAGUAACCUGCCUUCAAGAGGGGGAUAACAUUCUGAAAAGAAUGCUAAUACCGCAUGACAUAUGAUUGUCGCAUGGCAGACAUAUCAAAGAUUUAUCGCUUGAAGAUGGACUCGCGUCCGAUUAGUUAGUUGGUGAGGUAACGGCCCACCAAGACCGCGAUCGGUAGCCGGACUGAGAGGUUGAACGGCCACAUUGGGACUGAGAUACGGCCCAGACUCCUACGGGAGGCAGCAGUGGGGAAUAUUGGGCAAUGGGCGCAAGCCUGACCCAGCAACGCCGCGUGAAGGAAGAAGGCUUUCGGGUUGUAAACUUCUUUGUCAGGGACGAGUAGAAGACGGUACCUAACAAGGAAGCGCCGGCUAACUACGUGCCAGCAGCCGCGGU